Molecule: ribosomal RNA, 492 nt
Filed under: uncultured bacterium
Lineage: Bacteria
Description: partial 16S ribosomal RNA
Rfam family: Bacterial small subunit ribosomal RNA
Source: RNAcentral
AGUGAACGCUGGCGGUAGGCCUAACACAUGCAAGUCGAACGGCAGCACAGUAAGAGCUUGCUCUUACGGGUGGCGAGUGGCGGACGGGUGAGGAAUACAUCGGAAUCUACUUUUUCGUGGGGGAUAACGUAGGGAAACUUACGCUAAUACCGCAUACGACCUACGGGUGAAAGCAGGGGAUCUUCGGACCUUGCGCGAUUGGAUGAGCCGAUGUCGGAUUAGCUAGUUGGCGGGGUAAAGGCCCACCAAGGCGACGAUCCGUAACUGGUCUGAGAGAAUGAUCAGCCACACUGGAACUGAGACACGGUCCAGACUCCUACGGGAGGCAGCAGUGGGGAAUAUUGGACAAUGGGCGCAAGCCUGAUCCAGCCAUACCGCGUGGGUGAAGAAGGCCUUCGGGUUGUAAAGCCCUUUUGUUGGGAAAGAAAAGCAGCAGGUUAAUACCCCGCUGUUCUGACGGUACCCAAAGAAUAAGCACCGGCUAACUUCGUG